Molecule: long non-coding RNA, 782 nt
Filed under: Glycine max (soybean)
Lineage: Eukaryota; Viridiplantae; Streptophyta; Magnoliopsida; Fabales; Fabaceae
Description: long non-coding RNA (GMAX_LNC003770)
Source: RNAcentral
GGAGGGCUCACCGAUGUUUUUGUGCACUCUUUGAGUGGAAAUCCAGUUUCUCAAAGAUCCCAGGUUUCUGUUCUUUUGGUGGGUCUUCGAGAUCCUUCUAUCUUACCUACAUACGUUGUGUUGCAUGUGAUAAAAAAAAUAGCACUAGUGUUUAUUUUGGUCUUCCAAAGAUGUAUAUAACAUUACGUUACACAUGCUUGGAAAUUAUUAAAAACGGGAAAUAACUAAUAUCUUUUUUAAGAAUUCUUUCAGCUAGGGGGUUGCAAAAUAAAUAAAAAAGGAAAGAAAAUUAUGGGGUGAUCAAUUGUCAAUAGCAAAUAAUAUACCAAUAUGGAAUGCAUAUUUGAUCUUAUGAUAGGAUGAAUCAAUCAUGAAAAUCGAAAUUGGAGUUAAACUUCGUGCAAGAAACUUAAUACCUAUGCUUUUCCAACUUCAUGCACAAAGUAUUGGAAAAGAAAGAAUGAAAGUAUUUUCAUCAAUUGAAAAGUGCAUAGAAAAUAGUCUUAAUUUCAUAUACAAUAAGGACGAGUCUUACAGUUUUUGCUAACAAGAUUUUUUGAAAGAUAUCUUCAUUCCUCUCGAGCUUUGAGAUUUCAUUGACAAAAAUUUUGAAACCCUCUAAAAAUGUUCAUACCUUUUCUUUUGCAUUUCAAAGAGCUUAGAAUUUACAUGGAUCUAUUUUUGCAUUUGCGUCUAGCCAAGGCAAAUAUAAGCAGUUUCAAGUGCCUCUUCAUGAUUGUAUGAUGAAGUAUUAUUCAGUUUAGUCAUCAUUUAGGUAUCAG